AGUGAACGCUGGCGGCAGGCCUAACACAUGCAAGUCGAACGGCAGCACAAGAGAGCUUGCUCUCUGGGUGGCGAGUGGCGGACGGGUGAGGAAUGCAUCGGAAUCUGCCCAUUUGUGGGGGAUAACCUCGGGAAACCGGGACUAAUACCUCAUACGACCUACGGGUGAAAGCAGGGGAUCUUCGGACCUUGCGCAGAUGGAUGAGCCGAUGCCGGAUUGGCUAGGUGGAGGGGUAAAGGCCCACCAAGGCGACGAUCCGUAGCUGGUCUGAGAGGAUGAUCAGCCACACUGGGACUGAGACACGGCCCAGACUCCUACGGGAGGCAGCAGUGGGGAAUAUUGGACAAUGGGCGCAAGCCUGAUCCAGCCAUGCCGCGUGUGUGAAGAAGGCCUUCGGGUUGUAAAGCACUUUUGUUGGGAAAGAAAAGCAGCCGGUUAAUACCCGGUUGUCAUGACGGUACCCAAAGAAUAAGCACCGGCUAACUUCGUG
RNAcentral lists this ribosomal RNA (490 nucleotides) under uncultured bacterium. Its description in RNAcentral is "partial 16S ribosomal RNA". It matches the Rfam family "Bacterial small subunit ribosomal RNA", at positions 29 to 507 of the family's 1533-position model. The record is from RNAcentral.